RNAcentral lists this ribosomal RNA (254 nucleotides) under uncultured bacterium. Its description in RNAcentral is "partial 16S ribosomal RNA". It matches the Rfam family "Bacterial small subunit ribosomal RNA", at positions 524 to 776 of the family's 1533-position model. The record is from RNAcentral.
UACGAAGGGGGCUAGCGUUGCUCGGAAUGACUGGGCGUAAAGGGCGCGUAGGCGGUUUGGACAGUCAGAUGUGAAAUUCCUGGGCUCAACCUGGGGGCUGCAUUUGAUACGUUCGGACUAGAGUGGGGAAGAGGGUCGUGGAAUUCCCAGUGUAGAGGUGAAAAUUCGUAGAUAUUGGGAAGAACACCGGUGGCGAAGGCGGCGACCUGGUCCUUGACUGACGCUGAGGCGCGAAAGCGUGGGGAGCAAACAGG